RNAcentral lists this ribosomal RNA (253 nucleotides) under uncultured bacterium. RNAcentral describes it as "partial 16S ribosomal RNA". It matches the Rfam family "Bacterial small subunit ribosomal RNA", at positions 524 to 776 of the family's 1533-position model. The record is from RNAcentral.
UACAGAGGUGGCAAGCGUUGUUCGGAAUUACUGGGCGUAAAGGGCGCGUAGGCGGCCAUCUAAGUCAGACGUGAAAUCCCCCGGCUCAACCUGGGAACUGCGUCCGAUACUGGACGGCUUGAGUUUGGGAGAGGGAUGUAGAAUUCCAGGUGUAGCGGUGAAAUGCGUAGAUAUCUGGAGGAAUACCGGUGGCGAAGGCGGCAUCCUGGACCAAUACUGACGCUGAGGCGCGAAAGCUAGGGGAGCAAACGGG